UGUGUGUGUGUGUUUGUUUGUUUGUUUGCUCUUGUGUGAAUCAAGAGGAAGAAUGAGAAGAGAAGAAGUGAAAUUGUAUGAACAAUGUAUGAUUUUAGGAGUGUUCAUCACCUUCUAAGUAUCAAUUUGACUGUUGACAAGCUGGUUGGGAGCUUGGAAAGGAAUAGGUCAAACUGGUCAAAGGCGCGAGGAAGCUCGAACAGACGCAAAGUAAGAAAGGCUUACACCUCCUAUAAUAGAACCACUACUUAUGUGCUAAAAAGUAUUUUGGUUAAUAACAAGGGUUGACAAAGAACCGGAUGCGAUUAGCCGGUUAAAUUU
Helianthus annuus (common sunflower) is the source of this 321-nucleotide long non-coding RNA. RefSeq lists it as uncharacterized. Lineage: Eukaryota; Viridiplantae; Streptophyta; Magnoliopsida; Asterales; Asteraceae. The record is from RefSeq and is a predicted model, not a curated record. The transcript has 2 exons.